GUGGGCCGACAGCUGCUACGCACGUCUCCAUGGACCCUCGAGCCAUAGAGUGUGAGAGCCCCGUGCGGUAGAUGCGGGACGGUCAUGAUACGCCCUCCUUCGGCGAGUUGAGUAGUUUGUGAAUGCUGCUAUAACUGGGAGAUAAAUUCCUUAUAAGGCUAAAUAUCGGCCGGAGACCGAUAGCGCACAAGUAGAGUGAUCGAAAGAUGAAAAGUACUUUGAAAAGAGGUUUAAACAGUACGUGAAAUUGUUGAAAGGGAAGCGCCCGCGACUAGACUUGUACCUGACCGAUCGCUAGACGGCAGCAUGCCGUAAAGCCUCCCUGUCAUGGUGUGCAGGCCAGCAUCGGUUUGUGUUGGGGGAUAAGAGUACCGGGAAAGUAGCUCCUCUUCGGGGGAUUUUUAUACCCGGGGUCUCCUUCCCCCGACCCAGAUCGAGGAACGCGUUUUGGCACGGGGGUGGGCGUAAUGGUGGCAAAGGACCCCUCUUGAAACACGGACCAAGGAGUCUAACAUUUACGCGAGUGUUUGGGUGGCAAACCCGUGCCCGCAAAGAAAAAGAACGGACGUGGGAGCCCCCUUGAGGGGCGCACCAUCGACCGAUCCUGAUGUCUUGGGAUGGAUUUGAGUAGGAGCGUAGCUGUGGGGACCCGAAAGAUGGUGAACUAUGCCUGAAUAGGGUGAAGCCAGAGGAAACUCUGGUGGAGGCUCGCAGCGGUUCUGACGUGCAAAUCGAUCGUCAAAUUUGGGCAUAGGGGCGAAAGACU
RNAcentral lists this ribosomal RNA (766 nucleotides) under Meliola sp. SSD-2020c. RNAcentral's name for it is "partial large subunit ribosomal RNA". It matches the Rfam family "Eukaryotic large subunit ribosomal RNA", at positions 164 to 932 of the family's 3401-position model. Lineage: Eukaryota; Fungi; Ascomycota; Sordariomycetes; Meliolales; Meliolaceae. The record is from RNAcentral.